Molecule: ribosomal RNA, 371 nt
Filed under: uncultured bacterium
Lineage: Bacteria
Description: bacterial SSU rRNA
Rfam family: Bacterial small subunit ribosomal RNA
Source: RNAcentral
GUAGGAUGCGAGCGUUGUCCGGAUUUAUUGGGCGUAAAGAGUUCGUAGGUGGUUUGUUAAGUCUGAUGUUAAAGACUGAGGCUCAACCUCGGGAGUGCAUUGGAUACUGGCAGACUGGAGUGUAGUAGAGGCAAGCGGAAUUCCCAGUGUAGCGGUGAAAUGCGUAGAUAUUGGGAAGAACACCAGUGGCGUAAGCGGCUUGCUGGGCUAUAACUGACACUGAGGAACGAAAGCCAGGGGAGCAAAUGGGAUUAGAUACCCCAGUAGUCCUGGCCGUAAACGAUGGAUACUAGGCGUAGCGGGUAUCGACCCCUGCUGUGCCGCAGCUAACGCGAUAAGUAUCCCGCCUGAGUAGUACGGCCGCAAGGUUG